This 497-nucleotide ribosomal RNA is filed under the name uncultured bacterium. RNAcentral describes it as "partial 16S ribosomal RNA". It matches the Rfam family "Bacterial small subunit ribosomal RNA", at positions 28 to 507 of the family's 1533-position model. The record is from RNAcentral.
GACGAACGCUGGCGGCGUGCCUAAUACAUGCAAGUUGAGCGAUGAAGAUUGGUGCUUGCACCAAUUUGAAGAGCAGCGAACGGGUGAGUAACGCGUGGGGAAUCUGCCUUUGAGCGGGGGACAACAUUUGGAAACGAAUGCUAAUACCGCAUAACAACUUUAAACAUAAGUUUUAAGUUUGAAAGAUGCAAUUGCAUCACUCAAAGAUGAUCCCGCGUUGUAUUAGCUAGUUGGUGAGGUAAAGGCUCACCAAGGCGAUGAUACAUAGCCGACCUGAGAGGGUGAUCGGCCACAUUGGGACUGAGACACGGCCCAAACCCCUACGGGAGGCAGCAGUAGGGAAUCUUCGGCAAUGGACGAAAGUCUGACCGAGCAACGCCGCGUGAGUGAAGAAGGUUUUCGGAUCGUAAAACUCUGUUGGUAGAGAAGAACGUUGGUGAGAGUGGAAAGCUCAUCAAGUGACGGUAACUACCCAGAAAGGGACGGCUAACUACGUG